This 1280-nucleotide long non-coding RNA is filed under the name Ananas comosus (pineapple). RNAcentral's name for it is "long non-coding RNA (ACOM_LNC026274)". The record is from RNAcentral. Lineage: Eukaryota; Viridiplantae; Streptophyta; Magnoliopsida; Poales; Bromeliaceae.
GAGAUGUUAGGCUGCAAGGUUUACAUUGAAUUUAUAAAGCUGCGUUUGGUUUGAAAACUAAACUAUGAAGAAUAAUUUUCGUUAUUUAUGAGAACAAAAAUAUUCAGUUAUAAAAUAGAAUAAUUAUAAAUUUGGGUUCGUAUGCAUUCAAGAAUAUCUAGAAGACAUCCUUAGUAGCAUUUGGAUAAAAAGUCCACAACAAUGCCUAAAUAUAUUUUAAAAAUAAAAUAAUUAAUUAUAUCAGUAUUUUUUAUAUAGAAUUAUUUAUAAAAUUAUUUUAUAUAAUCAUUUAUAAUAUAAUAUUAUAUGUAACAAUUAUUUAUUUUACUUUAUAUAAUAAUUUAUUUUAUGUAACAAUUUACUUUAUAUAAUUUAUUUAUAAUAUAUGUAAUGAAUAAAAUAUAAUAUUAACAAUAAACAUAUAACAAUACAAAUUAGGAAUAAUUUCAUACAGUUCCCUAGACACAUCGAAUAGUAGAUAUAUCCCUACAAAGUUCAAAUUUUCAAAUUUAUCUUUCGAAAAGUCUUAAUGGUUUUAAAUAUAUCCCUUCUGUUAGUGUGUAUUAGAAAAUUGUAGUUCAUCAUAGGUAAAAUACUUAACCUUGGUUUUUUUUUUUUUAAGAGAAAGGUAGCAUGCUAUAUGCUUUAUUUAUUUCUUUUAGAAAUGAAUUUAGCUGAAAAUGUGAAUUAAUCAGGAUUCGAACUUGAAAACCUUGGCUACCAACCGCCAAGCUCUUUCUCACUUGCGCUAGGGAUGAUCGGUUAACCGUUUCACCCCUCUUAUAUUUUAACUUCUUCUCUCAAUCAAAACUCUAGGUUGACCACCCUAGGAAUGGAAGCUCUUCUUCCUCUUUCACUUCUUCUUCUUCCUCCUUCAUGCUAUUUUCAAAUCCGUAACUAGGAUUUCUCCAUCCCCAUUCCUCCACGAUACGUGUUGCUUCGCUCAUGUUCAGCGCUGGGGAAUUAACAUAUAGAUAAAGAAGAAAAUGAGUGAGAGGAGGUGGGGAAGAGAUUGCAAUAAUAGAGGAUUGGGUAGCUUUUGUAGAGGAAGAAAAUAAUCAUUGAGAAUUUUUUGGGAGAAUAUUUUUAUACAAUUUCAACCGUUGAAUCUUUUGAAGAAACAUAUUUAUAAUGAUAAAAUUGAUAUUUCAAUUAUCUUCUAUUAAAAAAUGAACAGUAAGCUAACGAUAAUAAACUAGGCAAAUAUGAACAUCACUGUACUUUUGAAAGGGUAAAUCUAAAAGCUUGAAUUUUAUAAGGAUAUAUUUGUUAUUCGAUAU